AGCGUAAAAAUUUCAUCACACCUUGUGAGUUGAGUUGAGUAUACAAAUUUGUUAAUGUGGUAUGCUCUAUAACAGGAUUGGGGAUUAGAAACUGUUUAAACAUUAAUUGCAAGGUAAACAAUCUUGAAAGAUGCAUAUAUCUGAGCUGUAAAUUUAUUCUCAAAACAAUUUGGAAAUAUGUGCCUUGUGGGAAGUGAGUGGCUUCAAGCAAUAGGACAAUAAAACUGUAGAUAGACCAAAAGCAAUGUGGAUGAAAGCAGUAAAAAUGAUUUAAUAUCAAAUAAGUUAAAAGAGAGAAGAGUAACUUAUUUUAAGCAUAUUUUAGAGCGCCUUAAAAUCUCUCAUUUGACCCCUUAUGCUCUUUUUUCUUUCCAUUCCUUUUUUAUCAUUUCUUCAAGAGAAUGGAAUUAUCUAAAUGGGAUGAUGGAAUUGAAAAAAAAAAAAAAAAUCGAAAGCAAGAUGGAAGAAAUUAAUGACAGUAAGCAACAUUGUCUCUAAAAUAGACAGGAGGAAAAGAUUAAAUUUUUAGGUAAUGUAUGAUGCUUUAGUUUAUAAAAUCUUUGUGCAUGUGUCUGUCUCUUCUGGUUAGAUAUAAGAACUCAACAACAUAAGGAGAAUGAUGAAGGUGGACAAGGAGCUGAAUGAAUUGACAAUCACAUCACAUUUAUUUUGUUCUUUGGAGCUCAAAUAGUAGAACUCUAAUGUUAUCUUAUGCAUCAGUUGACUAAUUCAAAUUAUGUGACAGUGAUCUGGUGCACCUUUAGCUUUGGCCUAACUUUUGAAAGACAUUGUAUAUAAGGCAUUAAAUUGUGUUAGGUUUUGCUGUGCUAUUUUCCCUUUUGCAUGAUUGGUUAAAGAAUACACCAACUCACCAUGGUCCACUGCUAUGUUUCUGUAGGU
RNAcentral lists this unclassified non-coding RNA (900 nucleotides) under Hevea brasiliensis (rubber tree). Lineage: Eukaryota; Viridiplantae; Streptophyta; Magnoliopsida; Malpighiales; Euphorbiaceae. The record is from RNAcentral.